This 253-nucleotide ribosomal RNA is filed under the name uncultured bacterium. RNAcentral describes it as "partial 16S ribosomal RNA". It matches the Rfam family "Bacterial small subunit ribosomal RNA", at positions 524 to 776 of the family's 1533-position model. The record is from RNAcentral.
UACGAAGGGUGCAAACGUUGCUCGGAAUUAUUGGGCGUAAAGCGCACGUAGGCGGCAUCGCAAGUCGGAUGUGAAAUCCCACGGCUUAACCGGGGAACUGCGUCUGAUACUGGAUGGCUGGAGUGUGGGAGAGGGAUGCGGAAUUCCAGGUGUAGCGGUGAAAUGCGUAGAUAUCUGGAGGAACACCGGUGGCGAAGGCGGCAUCCUGGACCAUUACUGACACUGAAAAGCGAAAGCCAGGGGAGCAAACGGG